Molecule: ribosomal RNA, 253 nt
Filed under: uncultured bacterium
Lineage: Bacteria
Description: partial 16S ribosomal RNA
Rfam family: Bacterial small subunit ribosomal RNA
Source: RNAcentral
UACAGAGGUCCCAAGCGUUGUUCGGAUUCAUUGGGCGUAAAGGGCGUGUAGGUGGCGCCGUAAGUCGGGUGUGAAAUUUCGGAGCUUAACUCCGAACCUGCAUUCGAUACUGCGGUGCUUGAGGACUGGAGAGGAGACUGGAAUUCAUGGUGUAGCAGUGAAAUGCGUAGAGAUCAUGAGGAAGACCAGUGGCGAAGGCGGGUCUCUGGACAGUUCCUGACACUGAGACACGAAGGCCAGGGGAGCAAACGGG